UCUCUCGACAGGCAUGGACCGACGCGCCCUGCUGUUUGUUCUGCUGGUGUGCAGCGCCUUGAUGUCCACCACCGCAGAGGCAUCGCCGGUGCCUGAAACCAAGCCUCGGCGCCCUGGCGGUGGCGGUAUCAACACGAGUGAAAAUCCAAGAACCUUACCCCCCAACCCAGUCUGUCUGUGCUUGCCGCCCCCCUGCACGUGUUCACCCCAUCCACCUUGACCUGACCCCGCAACGCCCGCACGAACACCGCCAACGGACCACGGACCACGGACAACUCCCAUCUUAUUCUUUUACUAUAUUUACUCCCCAAUAAAGGCAUGCAGUUCUCCCGCUAUGUGGCUCCUCAUUACCCUGUGUGGGGACGGGGGACAGCGGUGGGUCCAGGGCCUGGCAGGACCUGGUGGUGACGAGGGAGUGCCUUUGUCACGGACCCUAACACCAUCAUCAGGGAAACUGUAACAACACACCAGGAGAUCUGUAAAUGUACAGCGCUGAGCGCCGGGCACUGAACCCAGGCCUCGGGGAUGAAGGCGGAGCACCACACCCACUGAACCACCGGCGUGCCACGGGACCACUGCCAGGUUAAGCGUCCCGGUAAGUUGCUUGUGAUAUCAACGGUUUUUACUGUCAAAGGUUUUGCUUUACCUUGGCACCAUUACACUGCCAACCUGUUCAUGUGUGUUCUCAUGAGUGUGUUGCCUUCGCGUACAUGUCUACGCCCCACAUGACUGUUGCCUGCACACACAUCUUGCUCCUGCAGGCACUUGUUCUG
Molecule: long non-coding RNA, 773 nt
Organism: Eriocheir sinensis (Chinese mitten crab)
Lineage: Eukaryota; Metazoa; Arthropoda; Malacostraca; Decapoda; Varunidae
Exons: 3
Source: RefSeq, a predicted model, not a curated record